RNAcentral lists this ribosomal RNA (405 nucleotides) under uncultured bacterium. RNAcentral's name for it is "partial 16S ribosomal RNA". It matches the Rfam family "Bacterial small subunit ribosomal RNA", at positions 30 to 526 of the family's 1533-position model. The record is from RNAcentral.
AUUGAACGCUGGCGGCAGGCCUAACACAUGCAAGUCGAAUGAGUGGCGGACGGGCGAGUAAUGCUUGGGAAUCUGGCUUAUGUAGGGGGAUAACGACGGGAAACUGUCGCUAAUACCGCGUACUAUAGUAUGAGCCCUAGUGGGAUUAGGUAGUUGGUGGGGUAAUGGCCUACCAAGCCGACGAUCUCUAGCUGGUCUGAGAGGAUGACCAGCCACACCGGAACUGAGACACGGCCCGGACGCCUAAGGGAGGCAGAAGUGGGGAAUAUGGGGCAAUGGGGGCAACCGGACGCAGACAUGCCGCGUGAGUGAAGAAGGCCUUCGGGUUGUAAAAUUCUUUCGGUGGGGAGGCGGUAAUCAAAGAAAAAGCACCGGCUAACUCCGUGCCAGCAGCCGCGGUAAUAC